Non-coding RNA from Salmo salar (Atlantic salmon), 650 nucleotides. The record is from RefSeq and is a predicted model, not a curated record. Lineage: Eukaryota; Metazoa; Chordata; Actinopteri; Salmoniformes; Salmonidae.
UGGGGAGAGUGGAGCUGCUACCCCUGGGGAGAGAGAGGAGCUGCUACCCCUGGGGUGAGAAGAACUGCAACCAGCAGAGACUGCGACCAUGCUCGGGAAGAGCUUAGUGAUUGGUGAUUGUUGGGGCAUGAUUGGCAGGAGCUUCAGUAAUGAAGACUGCUGCACUUGCUGAUGUUUCACAAUAUGCCACGGCCGUCUCAGUCACCAGGUCUCAACACAAUAGAACACCACCAUCCCUCCAAUAGACUUCCAGACAGUUGUAGAAUGUUUGCCAAGGCUCAUUGUAAGAGCUGUAAAGAGAGAGGGACUCGGAGAGAGAACAGGUAGAACCUGAUAUGUAAAUGAGCAGAGCAAACGAAAGCAACUUUCAACGACCGAAUGAUCAUUCAGACUGUUUCUAUUGAGAGAUAAAAGGCUGGUUGAAUGAGUUGCCUGUGAAAGCUACUUCAUCUGCAAGAAAACAGGCGGCUGCACCAGUGACUGUCAGAAGUUUUGUGAUUUCCUCAUAUGAACGUGAAAGGGUCACUGCUCUAAAAUGAGUCUCUCUUGGAAGAGAGAGGAGGAGGGCCCUGCCUCUAAAAGGAGUGUCUCUGGGGAACAUGGCACCAAAUCUAAGAGACCAAUCAAGCAGGAGAGACCAGCCUCCCUGU